RNAcentral lists this ribosomal RNA (508 nucleotides) under uncultured bacterium. RNAcentral's name for it is "partial 16S ribosomal RNA". It matches the Rfam family "Bacterial small subunit ribosomal RNA", at positions 28 to 523 of the family's 1533-position model. The record is from RNAcentral.
GAUGAACGCUAGCUACAGGCUUAACACAUGCAAGUCAAGGGGAAACGAUAUUGGAAGCUUGCUUCCGAUAGGCGUCGACCGGCGCACGGGUGAGUAACGCGUAUCCAACCUGCCCACCACUUGGGGAUAACCUUGCGAAAGUAAGACUAAUACCCAAUGAUAUCUCUAGAAGACAUCUGAAGGAGAUUAAUGAUUUAUCGGUGAUGGAUGGGGAUGCGUCUGAUUAGCUUGUUGGCGGGGGAACGGCCCACCAAGGCGACGAUCAGUCGGGGUUCUGAGAGGAAGGUCCCCAACAUUGGAACUGAGACACGGUCCAAACUCCUACGGGAGGCAGCAGUGAGGAAUAUUGGUCAAUGGGCGAGAGCCUGAACCAGCCAAGUAGCGUGCAGGAUGACGGCCCUAUGGGUUGUAAACUGCUUUUAUAAGGGAAUAAAGUGAGUCUCGUGAGACUUUUUGCAUGUACCUUAUGAAUAAGGACCGGCUAAUUCCGUGCCAGCCGCCGCCGUAA